GUGGGGAAUAUUGGGCAAUGGGCGAAAGCCUGACCCAGCAACGCCGCGUGAAGGAAGAAGGCCUUCGGGUUGUAAACUUCUUUUAUGAGGGACGAAGGACGUGACGGUACCUCAUGAAUAAGCCACGGCUAACUACGUGCCAGCAGCCGCGGUAAUACGUAGGUGGCAAGCGUUGUCCGGAUUUACUGGGUGUAAAGGGCGCGUAGGCGGACUGGCAAGUCAGAUGUGAAAUCCAUGGGCUCAACUCAUGAACUGCAUUUGAAACUGUUGGUCUUGAGUGUCGGAGAGGCAAGCGGAAUUCCUAGUGUAGCGGUGAAAUGAGUAGAUAUUAGGAGGAACACCAGUGGCGAAGGCGGCUUGCUGGACGAUAACUGACGCUGAGGCGCGAAAGCGUGGGGAGCAAACAGGAUUAGAAACCCCUGUAGUCC
RNAcentral lists this ribosomal RNA (428 nucleotides) under uncultured bacterium. RNAcentral's name for it is "partial 16S ribosomal RNA". It matches the Rfam family "Bacterial small subunit ribosomal RNA", at positions 354 to 796 of the family's 1533-position model. The record is from RNAcentral.